GGAGGAGGGGAACGUGCCGGGAGGCUCGAGUCCCCCUCCCAGAGUGCUCUGGGCCGGAGAAACCUCCCGCAGGCUCCCGGGCCAGGCGUGCAAGGCCCCCUCUCCUGCCAGGGCCCAGGACGCUGCGGGCCCCAGCGGAGGGGAAGGGGACUAAGUAGGGGAAGAAGCUGUAAACAGCCCCAGCGUCCGGGCCUCGCCUCGAAGAGCCGCGCUUCCCAGGCCCAGCCGCGGGCCGCCCAGGCCCCCAGCCUGCCCCGGGGCCGCCGCGCCCGGGGUCCGGGACACCGGAGGGGAGUCGGGUCCCCUCCCCGGAGAGCUCCGGGAGCUCGCGGAGCGGCCCCAGGAGCAGAGAAGGGGGAAGUCAGGACUUACCUGUCAUUACUUUCUACGCCAUCUUGGAUCCACUUGUCAACGUCCCCACAAAGCAUUAUGGGUCCUACUGCAACUCGAAUGGCACUUAGGCUCCACAAGACCAACUUCCUAUUUCUACAUCAGUGAAGGUUCGGAGUGGAGCUUUUCAUUCAGCAAAGACAGCAGGAAGCACAGGGUUCGGUGAUGAAUUCUCACGUGCAGGUACCUCUUCAGUAGAAAAAUUCAAUAAGGUUUCUGACACUUUCUACCUAUGGGCCAGUUACAUACAGAAGAGAAAACUGAAACUGAAAACUGGUUUGUCAUUUUUACAGAAAGUCACUGCAAAGAAGGAGAAUUCCAAGUGCAAAUGACUUGAGCUUGACGGAAAGGUAAAAAUAUCCCUAUGAUUCUCUUCACAAGAAGGUAGCCAAGUAUUUAUUGGAUGCAAGACAGUUUGUUUAAGGAGCCUAAAAAAGCAAAGAUGCAGCGGUGAGAAAGA
Long non-coding RNA from Homo sapiens (human), 850 nucleotides. RefSeq annotates it as HELZ antisense RNA 1. The transcript has 4 exons. Lineage: Eukaryota; Metazoa; Chordata; Mammalia; Primates; Hominidae. The record is from RefSeq and is marked validated.